This 430-nucleotide ribosomal RNA is filed under the name uncultured bacterium. RNAcentral describes it as "partial 16S ribosomal RNA". It matches the Rfam family "Bacterial small subunit ribosomal RNA", at positions 29 to 506 of the family's 1533-position model. The record is from RNAcentral.
AACGAACGCUGGCGGCAGGCUUAACACAUGCAAGUCGAGCGCCCCGCAAGGGGAGCGGCAGACGGGUGAGUACCGCGUGGGAACGUACCUUUUGGUUCGGAACAACUCCGGGAAACUGGAGCUAAUACCGGAUAAGCCCUAACGGGGAAAGAUUUAUCGCCGAAAGAUCGGCCCGCGUCUGAUUAGCUAGUUGGUGAGGUAACGGCUCACCAAGGCGACGAUCAGUAGCUGGUCUGAGAGGAUGAUCAGCCACACUGGGACUGAGACACGGCCCAGACUCCUGAGGGAGGCAGCAGGGGGGAAUAUGGGACAAUGGGCGCAAGCCUGAGCCAGCCAUGCCGCGUAAGUGAUGAAGGCCUUAGGAUUGUAAAGCUCUUUUGUCCGGGAAGAUAAUGACGGUACCGGAAGAAUAAGCCCCGGCUAACUUCGU